UUCUAAUUGCGUAAUAAUGGUUUUGGUAUAUUUUAUUUUCCUAUAACUCCCUCAUGAGAUGUGUUGUAUUGCAUUACUCUACCACCAUUUUUUUGUAUCAAAUGGAUUUAGUACUUCCAAGAAGCUUCUUUCUUUUUUAAUGAUUGAUCAUCCAGGUCCAACGAAACUCACUGGGAGAGCAGUAUAUGCUUUCUGAUAAGUUGGAAUUCAUGCAGACAGAAAUAAUGAAUGUGAAAAAUAAACUGCGGUCUAUACGGGCUAAAUUGGCUAUACAACGAGGCAAGAAGACACAUGCAAUAAUUAAAGCGGAGAACACGGACAUGGCAAAGAAGAAGCUUGAUGCUUCUGUAAAAGCUUUGCAUAUUCUUCGAUCUACGUGCAUAGUCUGGUCUACAUCUGCUUCAGAAGUUCUUUUGGCUGGGUCUUUCGAUGGUUGGACUAAUCAG
This is a long non-coding RNA of Asparagus officinalis (garden asparagus), 446 nucleotides long. RefSeq lists it as uncharacterized. The record is from RefSeq and is a predicted model, not a curated record. Lineage: Eukaryota; Viridiplantae; Streptophyta; Magnoliopsida; Asparagales; Asparagaceae. The transcript is spliced from 2 exons.